CCUACGGGAGGCAGCAGUAAGGAAUAUUGGACAAUGGUCGCAAGACUGAUCCAGCCAUGCCGCGUGCAGGAUGAAGCGCUCAGCGUUGUAAACUGCUUUUGUUUGGGAAAUUGUACCAAAAGAAUAAGGGACGGCUAACUUCGUGCCAGCAGCCGCGGUAAUACGAAGGUCCCAAGCGUUAUCCGGAUUUAUUGGGUUUAAAGGGUGCGUAGGCGGAUUAUUAAGUCAGUGGUGAAAGCUCUCAGCCUAACUGAGAAAUUGCCAUUGAUACUGAUGAUCUUGAGUACAUUUGAAGUGGGCGGAAUGUGUCAUGUAGUGGUGAAAUACUUAGAUAUGACACAGAACACCGAUUGCGUAGGCAGCUCGCUAAACUGUACUGACGCUGAGGCACGAAAGCGUGGGGAGCAAACAGGAUUAGAUACCCCAGUAGUC
This 432-nucleotide ribosomal RNA is filed under the name uncultured bacterium. RNAcentral describes it as "partial 16S ribosomal RNA". It matches the Rfam family "Bacterial small subunit ribosomal RNA", at positions 338 to 795 of the family's 1533-position model. The record is from RNAcentral.